UGGCGUGCGAAUAUUGGACAAUGGGCGAAAGCCUGAUCCAGCCAUGCCGCGUGUGUGAAGAAGGUCUUCGGAUUGUAAAGCACUUUAAGUUGGGAGGAAGGGCAGUAAGUUAAUACCUUGCUGUUUUGACGUUACCGACAGAAUAAGCACCGGCUAACUUCGUGCCAGCAGCCGCGGUAA
Molecule: ribosomal RNA, 180 nt
Filed under: uncultured bacterium
Lineage: Bacteria
Description: partial 16S ribosomal RNA
Rfam family: Bacterial small subunit ribosomal RNA
Source: RNAcentral